This 444-nucleotide ribosomal RNA is filed under the name uncultured Pseudomonas sp. RNAcentral describes it as "bacterial SSU rRNA". It matches the Rfam family "Bacterial small subunit ribosomal RNA", at positions 939 to 1382 of the family's 1533-position model. The record is from RNAcentral. Lineage: Bacteria; Pseudomonadati; Pseudomonadota; Gammaproteobacteria; Pseudomonadales; Pseudomonadaceae.
AUGUGGUUUAAUUCGAAGCAACGCGAAGAACCUUACCAGGCCUUGACGUGCAGAGAACUUUCCAGAGAUGGAUUGGUGCCUUCGGGAACUCUGACACAGGUGCUGCAUGGCUGUCGUCAGCUCGUGUCGUGAGAUGUUGGGUUAAGUCCCGUAACGAGCGCAACCCUUGUCCUUAGUUACCAGCACGUUAUGGUGGGCACUCUAAGGAGACUGCCGGUGACAAACCGGAGGAAGUGGGGAUGACGUCAAGUCAUCAUGGCCCCUACGGCCUGGGCUACACACGUGCUACAAUGGUCGGUACAAAGGGUUGCCAAGCCGCGAGGUGGAGCUAAUCCCAUAAAACCGAUCGUAGUCCGGAUCGCAGUCUGCAACUCGACUGCGUGAAGUCGGAAUCGCUAGUAAUCGUGAAUCAGAAUGUCACGGUGAAUACGGUUCCCGGGCCUU